UACGUGGGGUGCAAGCGUUGUCCGGAAUUAUUGGGCGUAAAGAGCUCGUAGGCGGUCUGUCGCGUCUGCUGUGAAAACUCAGGGCUUAACCCUGAGCUUGCAGUGGGUACGGGCAGACUAGAGUGCGGUAGGGGUGACUGGAAUUCCUGGUGUAGCGGUGGAAUGCGCAGAUAUCAGGAGGAACACCGAUGGCGAAGGCAGGUCACUGGGCCGCAACUGACGCUGAGGAGCGAAAGCAUGGGGAGCGAACAGG
This 253-nucleotide ribosomal RNA is filed under the name uncultured bacterium. Its description in RNAcentral is "partial 16S ribosomal RNA". It matches the Rfam family "Bacterial small subunit ribosomal RNA", at positions 524 to 776 of the family's 1533-position model. The record is from RNAcentral.